UUUAAAGACAACCUUAGGUUCAUCGACGAACAAGAAGAGUAACCGUUAUGCUGCAAGUGUCGGUGAAGAAGGUGCUGUAACCCAAGUCAAACACCAAGGAACUUGCGGUAACUUUCUACUCUAAUACUAUGUCUUUACUCUUUAAGCUGUUGCCCAACUCAUUCACUUUAUAGUUUUUUUGCUACUAGUUAAUUUGAAUUCAUUGUGGUUCUUAACUCAUAAAAAGUAUAUAGUUUUCUUUAAAACUUAUUAUGGUAAUUUUUUUUUAAUUAACGAUGGAAAGCUUAAAAAUUAAUUGUUAAAUUUAUUACUAAGUAUAUUAAAAAGACUAAUAUUGUAAAAUUUAAAAAAUUAAAUGAACAAUAUAAAUAUUUUUUAAGAACUAUAAAAUAAGAUAAGAUACUAAAAAAAUAUUAAAUCUUAUUGAAAUAUGUGUCAUAUAUUGAAUAAGAUAAGACAAUAAAAGAAUAUUAAAUCUUAUUAAAUUAUAUGUGUCAUAUAUCUCAAAUAACUAAUUAUUCUUAUUUAUAGAACAGAUCUAAUUAUAAUAUUUUUCAAAUUGUUGUCUAGUAAUAGAAAGAGGCAUGAGUAUUUAAUAUUAAGAUCUAAUUCAUCUAUACUACUCUUGAAAUAAAUGACAUUAUCAACUAAAACUAAUUGUCGGAUCAAUGUUCAUUUAGAAUAUUUAAUUUUUAUAGUAAUCGCACAUUUAAUUGACUAUUUCUUUUAAUAUGAAAAAAGAAAUACAUUAACUUUUCAAAAACUUAUCUUCACGAACCUAAGUAACAUUGUCCUAAAAUUGUCUUCCGGAAAUACUCCUUUAACUUAUGAAAAUUUUCCAUUAGGAAUUAAAUUGAACUUAUUUAGAGGCCUUAUUUUUUCAGGCCAUGUGCAAGGAUUUGGAUUGUCGGCUGUCACAAAACCACACGAAAGUGGCCAAGUGUAAUUGACCGUCCGAUCAAGAUUGAAUGGUUCUUAUUUAAAGCUGAUAAUUUUGAUAAAAAGAAAUCUGUUUUUUUCCAACCAUGCGAUCGAAAUCAAACGAUCAAUAAUAUUUUGACACGUGAAUGCGGACAAUUUUCGAUUGAAUGGUGUCUUUCAGUUUAAUAAGAAAUUAUGAGUUUGAAUUUAAUCUUGAAUAUGCAGAAGUUUUUAAUUUUUUGAAGGAGACUUUACUAUCUAUUAUGAUCCAGUAAGAUUAGAGGAAUUAAUCUCUAAAAUUACGCGCAGAAAAUAUUCGAUUUAUAAAAAUAAAAAAAUCUAGAUAAAAUAUAAAAUAAAUAAAGUAAUUAAUUAAAUUAUACGUAGUUUAAAAAUUAAUAUUUUUACAAAUUAAAUAAAAUUAUUAAAUAAUUUAAUUUGUUUUUAAACUAAUACAAUUCAAAUAAAAGUAUUGCUAAAAAAGUUGUACAAAGGGAUCAUUCUAGACACAAUCUUUUUAAAAGAUUCAUUUUAAAGUAAAAAACAAAUCGCAAAUAAAUUUGUAGGUAAUAACACAAUAAAUAAAAUAAGCAUCGGAUAAAUUCAAAUCCAUAUGUUAAAAAUAUUUUAAAAAUUAAAUUAUUAAAUUUGUGUUUUAAAUUAUUAAAAAAUCUUAUUUUUAUAAUUAUUUUUAAUAAACAUAUUUUGGAUAAUCUUGAAGUGGGUCAAGAGAGAUCACAAAUGCAAUGAGAUUUAGUGUUGUUUGUGAGUCUCUUUUUUUUGUCUCUCCCUUUUCUUCCUUGAUGGGAAGCCUUUCUAUGAGGCAAUCAACCAACAUCAUGACUCUAAUUUGAUAGGGUUUCCUAAUAGUUUAAAAUUUCUUUCCAUAAAAUCCCAACUUUCUUUGUUUCUUUGCUCAUCAUUCUCGCCCUUGCUCCCUUUUCCUCAAGACUGUCGACCAACUUUUUUACGCCUUCUUCCAUUCACUUUGCAAGCAUGAAUCUCUGGUGUUUAUUUCCUUUCCUUAAUACUCUUACUUAAUUCUUUUGUCAUGGUUAUAAUACGCAAGUAUAACGAUUCGAGGAAUGUACUGAUUCCCUUCACUGCUUGAGAUAGAAGAGAAUUGUGGGAUGCACGCAUGAAAGAAUGUGAGGGUCAUCUAGGACAAACAGAGUUUGAUCAUAUCCUUAAGGAAGUUUAUGGUGACAUUCCUUGUAGUGAAACUGAUUCAGACUAUUUGUCAUCAGUUCUAUGGACGUUUUGAUAGAGAUGACAGGGUCUCUUAUUGGCAAAUAAGUUUAAAGCUACGAUCACAGCAUAAUCGAUGAGCGACAUUUCAUUACUCCGAUCUAACAAACAUAUUUCUUCCAUCGAGAAUGAAGAAGAUGUCAUACUGGAACCUUGCGUGGUUGGUGAAAGAGUUUGCAUCACUCGACAAGGGGGGUGUCAGACGAAUAUUUUUAUUUUUACUAAGGGGUAAUUGAGGAUUUUAAGAUCCGUAUCCCCUUUACUGAUUUUGAAUUUGAUCUUCUCAAAAGCAUAAAUAUCACUCAUUCUCAUUUACGCUUAAAUGGUUGAGGCUUCGUUAAAGCUUUUGAACUCGUUUGUGAGGCAGUGAGCAUAAUCCCUACUUUAGGUUUGUUUUUUUAUUUCUUUGAGCUGAAAGGGACGGACAAAGGAGGUUGGGUUUCCCUUAGUGGAAUUCCAGGAAAACGUUUCCUCUAGGCUUAUACUACCAACUAGAAAGGUUUCAAGGAUAAGUUUCUUCGGAUAAAAAGUGGAAAAAAUGGUGCCCCCAAGUUAUGUGUGUGUUGGACGCGGACUAUCACUUCACGAUUUACUGGAUGAAUAACCCGUUAUCGGUGUCCGGCUUUGACUAUGACAAGUUAAAUGCUUUAGAUAUCCGAGCUUUAGCCAUUCUAGAUGCCUUCCGAGUAAUAAAAGUCGAGUACUUACUAAACAUGCCUGAUGAUCCAUAACAAAUCUCUAACUUAUUGAGUAAUGCUUAUAUGUAUCUUAUUAUACUCUAGCGAUCUCUUUAUUUCCCUUUUCUGAACUUAUUUUCUCAUUCUUUUUCAACUGAAAUAAUGAGCUUUAAACUAAAGGAACAGAAGAAGUUAAUGACUAAAGUGAGGGCUAGAUGUAGAGAACAAUCUUCUUUUAAGAUCGACCUGUCUAGUAUCCAAACUCGGGCCCUUAAAAGAAAGAAGGCAGGAACAAUUGGGAAAGGAGCCCCAGGCGUUACAGAGCCCUAAGAUGACUUCCUUCCUCCUCCUGGAGAUUCGAAAUCGGGCUCACCUAAGAAAAUGAAGAUUUUGAUGGGGGAUCCUAUAAGUCAGCCCGACUUGGCAGUCACCACCUUGAUGCAAGAUUCGAGUGGUAACCAUAAAGCCAGCCCAUAAACUAAAUUUAAGAUUUGAUCCAAUAGCUUUAAUGGAUUUAAGUUCCUUUACUACCAUCUGAAUGCGAUAGAGGAUGUUGAGAAGGUGAAGACUAUUAGGGCUCAACAACUGACCAAAAAACAUUGGUGCCUACUUUAUGAGGUGUGCUGUCAUGACUCGUGGAUUGUUUGAAGUCGGUGAUACUUAUGAGAAAAAUGAAUUCCAUAUCACAAAGAAGAUUACUCAAUCGAAGGAUAACUUGAAGGUCCAGACUGAUAACAUGGAAGAUCUAAACAAACAACUGUUGGAAAUGAAGAAACAAAAAGAAGAUGUUUGGAGCUUGAAACUACCUCGGCCGAUUUGAACCAGGAUGUUGAAAAAACUCGAGAGUUCAACGAGACACUGAAGAAAUCUUUUCAAGAUGCCCAAAUAGACCUUCUUUCAGUCAGCGAUAAGGCUUUUGAGAGGGCUAAAGCCCAAGCGCUAUGCCAUAAACCUGACCUCAAUGUGUCUGAGAUGGAUUACUUCAAGACUGUGGUGGAUGGCCAACUUGUAGAUAUGAAGGAAGCUUCUCCUGAAGCCGAGGCUUCUAAGGAUGUGACAAUCGAUGAUUUGUCCCUUGAUGUUCAAGAGAAGGAGCAGCACGAUGUUUAAGCUUUGUUUAUUUAUAUUGUUGGUCGUCUAUGGUGAUGUGCUUUUUGUAAUGUUUGGGUAAUUCCUUUUUUCUUCCAAGUACAAUGUUUUAAGACCUUCUAAGACCUUUUUAAAAUUAGCUUCAAUGAGUUUUGCUUAAGUACAACGUUAAUCCAUGAUUUGUGUAUAUAGCCCCUGGUGUAUCUUGAAUUAUACGAGUUUAUAUCUUAAUGAUAUGCUCCGGGACCUGCGUCUGAUAUUGGUCACCUAACUCAUUAAUUUUAAAAGAAUUGAUCAAAUUGUUGUUAUCAUUGAGCCUAAUAGGUUAUAAACGUAGAGAAGUUUGAGAGUCCUAAUAGGAUCUCGACCAGUUGCGUCCCGUUUUAACUGCGCCAAUACUUGGCCUUAUUAGCACGUGUGGGUUUAUUUUGUGACCAUGUUAGUCCUUUUAUGUAACCCUAAUGUGCUUUUAUUUCUUUAAUAGCAAUUGAUUUGUUCGAAUGGAAAGUAAAUAGAAAGGCCGACCUCAAACAGUUCAUGGCUUACCUUUAGUUGAGGUUUAUGCCUUAUAGAUUUAAAGCCCUAGUGAUCAGAGCAUUACUGAUUGAUGGUCUUGUCGUUUUAAACAUAGACCGGCCAACCACUAGUUGAUCGUGGUAGACAUCAGGGUUUGGCCAUGAAUAAGUUAACCAAACCGCUUAAGGUCAGAGGCUUGUUAAAUUGAUUAGGAUGCCAAAUGUAUAUUAACUUAGGCUUUUAUUUAAGGCUAGAGGUUACAAUUAACAUAACCAGGUUAGAGGUUCUUAUUUAUUUGACCAAUUUGCCAGAGAUUCCUAUUUACUUGGACUUUUAUUUGGUCAGAGGUUUUUAUUAACAUAAUCCGGUUAGAGGUUCUUAUUUACUUGACCGAUUUGCCAGAGGUUCCUAUUUACUUGGAAAUUUAUUUGGUCAGAGGUUUUUAUUAACAUAACUUAGUCAGAGGUUCUUAUUUACUUAACUGAUUCUCCAUAGGUUCCUAUUUACUUGGACUUUUAUUUGGUCAGAGGUUUUUAUUAACAUAACCCGGCUAGAGGUUCUUAUUUACUUGGCCCAUUUGCCAGAGGUACCUAUUUACUUGGACUUUUAUUUGGUCAUAGGUUUUUAUCAACAUAACCUGGUCAGAGGUUCUUAUUUACUUGACCAAUUUGGUAGCCGGUGAUAUCGGGCAUGCUUAUUUUUCCUAGGACUAGCUUGACUUGGUUACUGUAAAAACUUGAAAGAUUAACACAUAUAAAUAUGAAGUGGGGGUGCCUCAUUAAAAACCCUUGUCCUUUCAAGGGAAAAGAGUGUUACCCAUCAUUUUUAUUUAAAUAAGAACAUUACAUAUCGUUAAAUAUAAUAAAAUCUUAGGCUGGCUACAUUCCAAGUCCUUGGUACUCCCACUCCUUCCAAACUCUCAAGCUUAUAAGCACCAUUAUCCAACUUAUGCAGUAAGGUCAUUCCCAGUUUUGGCCGAGAUUUCCUUUCUUCUUUGCAUCUGUAACUUUUUUCAAAACUAAGUCACCCUCUUGAAAGCUUCUCGGACGGGCUCUAGUAUUGAACCUCAUGGUCGAUCUUUGCUUUGCUACCACUUCUCGAACAUGAGACAGUCUUUUGAUUUCUUCUAUGAGGUCGGUCGAGUUAUUUAGUCCCUCCUUGUUAAGAUUGUUCUCAAAAUUUAAUCGACGUCGGGUUAGAGAGUUAAUUUCUACUAGUAUCAUUACAUCGUCCAUGUACACCAUUUGAAAUGGUGGUCUUCUUAGUGGUCGAAUAAUGAGUAGUAUAAUAGGACCAUAAGAUCUCGUGCAAAUACUCAUACCAAAGCCAAUUCGCUUCAUCUAGAUUUUUCUUCAUUCCUGAUAAGAUAAUCCUAUUUGUUGCUUCUAGUUGGCCAUUAUCCUGAGGGUGCUCAACCGAAAUAAACCAGUUUUAUAUGCUGAGGUGCCUGCAAAAUUCUACAACAGAUGAGCUCGCAAGUUACGUGCCAUUAUAGGAUACAAUGAUCCCUGGAAGGCCAAAAUGGCAUAUGAUAUUUCUCCAAUAAAAACAUCUUACCCUCUCCGAUGUGAUUUGGGAUACGGCCUCAGCUUCCGCCCACUUGGUGAAAUAAUCCACUGCAAUUAUAAGAAGUUUCAGUUGCCCGGUAACUAGAGAAAAAGGGAUGAGAGUAUCCGAUCCCCACUAAUAAAAAGGCCAAGGAGAAAUUACUAACUGUAACAACUCCACCUGAUAGUGUAUGAAGGGCGUAUAGAUCUGGCAUUUCUCAUAAUGAUUUACGAACUAUGCACAGUCUUGUAGCAUACUCAACCAGUAGUAUUCGACCCUGAGUAUUUUUCCAGAUAAAGCUCUUCCCCCAAUAUGACUUUCAUACACUCCUUCCUGCACUUAUUUCAUUAUAGGUCCUACUUCUUCUUCAGCCACACAUCUAAACAUCGGAGAGGAUCUACCCAUUUUGUAGAGUUGUUCGGCUACCAUGAGGUAUCGAGAAGACAUCCUCUUAAUAUGUCAGGCUUUAAUCUCUUCAUGUAGCAACUUUUUUUUAGUCAAAUAUUGAAUGAUGGGUGUCAUUCAACCCUGUAUGUUUUCUAAUACCAUGAUUUCCUCUAUUUUCGUGCUUGGUGCUUCUAACUUUUCCUGGAUCACCGUUAUAUUUAGCUCGGGGCCUUUAGUGAUGGCUAGACGGGCUAGUAGAUCGACUCUGACAUUUUCUUCUUGAGGAAUAUGCGAUACUUCAAAUUUUAUGAACCACUUGGCCAAUUUCAGAGCUCGUUGUAGAUACUUGAGUAAUAGCGGACCCUUCGUAUGGUAGACUCCUUUGGAAUGGGUGAACUCAACUCUAUUAGAAAAUCCGAUAGUAUUUGUGAUUCGAUGCUAGUUCUCAGUACGAAUGUGAUGUCGUAAUCAAAAAAAUCUAUGGCUCAGGCCACCAUGAUACCUACCAAGUCCAGAUUUUUCAGAAUUCGUUUUAUGGGAUAAUUCGUCUUGACAAUAAUAGGGUGGCCCUAAAAAUAGUGUAUAAGUUUUCUGGCGGUAAUCACUACUACCAGAGCUUGCAGUUCGAUCUUUUGAUAACAAAUCUCUGCUCCUUUGAGAACCUUCCUGACAAAAUAGAUCGGCCUUUCAUGUUUAUCACUAUCUUGAACCAAUACUGAAUUGAUAGCUUUGUCUGAGACUGCUAAAUAUAAUGUAAAAGGUGAAUUUUCCUUCAGACAGACCAAGAUCGGGGGGUAGACAAGAAUUGUUUUAAUUCUACAAAUGCCUUCUCACAUUCUUCCAUCCACUAAAUUUUUUCCAACUUCUUGAUAGAGGUGAAAAUGUGUAUGGAUUUGUCACUUGUGCAAGGUAGAAAUCGGGAUAGGGCGACCAACCUCCUAGUUAGCUGCUGAACUUCCCUUAUUGACGUUGGGCUUCUCAUAUUGAUGAUUGCUUGACACUUUUCCGAAUUCGCUUCUAUUCCCUGGUGUCUCAGCAUGAAACCCAUAAAAUUUCCAGCUUGUACCCUAAACGUGCACUUUUUGGGCUUAGCCUCGUGUCAAACUUUCUUAUUGACUCAAAUGUCUCUUCUAGGUCCUUUACGUCAUCCUUCUCCUCUAGGGUUUUUACCAACAUGUCAUUGAUGUAUACCUAUAAGUUCAUCCAUAUAUAUGAUGAGAAUACCAUAUCUAUUAGUUUUUAAUAAGUAACACCUGAGUUUUUAAGACCGAAUGACAUUACUUCAUAAUAGUAGUUAUUUAUGUCGGUCAUGAAUAUCAUUUUGGGAGCAUCCACUAGGUUCAUUCGAAUUUGGUUGUAGCUUGAAUAGGCAUCCAUGAAGCUGAGCAUACAGAACCCGGAUGCCUCAUCGAUGAGUUUAUCAAUGGGUUGUAAUGGAUAAGGGUCCUUUCGACAGACCUUGUUGAGGUCGGUGAAAUCUAUCCACAUGCACCAUUUUCUAGAUUUCUUCUUUACCAUGACGACAUUGGACAUCCAGGUGUGAUAUUUUAUUUCCCGGAUAAACCCGACCUUUAAGAGGUUAUCUACCUACUUUGUGACAGAUUUUCUCUUCUCUUCCCCAUUUUUCCACUUCCUCUGCACUAAGACCUUCAUGACGGAUCAAGAGAGAGCUGAUGGCACAUGAUAUUUGGGUCGAUUUAGGGCAUGUCCGAGGGUUUCCAAGAGAAGAGGCAGGAGUUGCCUCUCAGUACUUUAAUGAUGUUUUUCUCCUUUUGCUGACAUAAUACUAAACUUAUCUACGUGAUUUGAAAAUCCUCAACACCGAUCUGCACCAUUUUUAAUUCCCCAAUAAAGGUCAAGCUUUCAUCUGUCGGGUCCUCCCAAGGGUCGAGGUCAACCAGGUUCACCUUUAAAAUAUUUUCAGUAGGCUGGUCCUGUUUGGUCUUUGUUUUUAGUUUUAGGCUAUCCUUAUAGAAUUUCAUGGCCAAUCCUUGAUCACCUUUAUUUACUCCUACACGUCCAUCGUUCAAAGGGUACUUCAUGGUUAGAUAAAAAGUGGAUAUUGUAGCCUCAAGAGUAGUGAACGUCAGUCUUCCGAUGAUGAUGUUGUACGGUGAGGAUUCAUUCACUAUAAUAUAUCUCACUUUGAUUCCUUUGGCAUGGUCCCCGCUUACAAAGACCGUCAUGAUAGGCAGAAGCCUUAGUACCUAUACAUGUUCUCCAAAGAAACCGACUUUGAUGCCUUUGAAAGGUAGCAGCUCGGAAGUAUCCAUGUUCAUGCCUUUGAAAUCAUCCCAAUACAAUAUAUCGGCAGAACUUCCUGGAUCGAUCAACACUCGUUUGACGCUCCAAUCAUGAAUUUGUACUUUUAUGACCAUUGGGUCACUUUCAUAUGCUAGCACAUCUUCCAAGUCCCGUCUUGAAAAUCCGACAAUGAUAGGCCUUUCUUCUUUUCCUGAAAAUAUGUUAUGUGAUACAUGCAUUAAUGAUAGAGCAUAUCUCUUUUUGGACGAGCUUGUUUCUCCUCCGCCAGUAAACCCUCCCGAAAUGGUGUUGAGUGUAAGGCGUGCUACCCGAGUUUCAGGCACCUCCUCAGUAAUUUUUUCCUUCUUCGCAGAGAGGUUUUCCGAGUUUUGCUCUCUUUGAGAAUGACUUCUUUUUCUUGUUGCUCCUUCGACAUCUUUCAUGUAUGACAACAACCGGCCCCUUUGGAUCAAGAUCUCUAUUUCCCCUUUUAACUGAUGAUAAUCUUCAGUAUGAUAGCCUCUCAUACGAUGAUAAGCAUACCAUGCAUCCUCGUCUUUUCCCAGUACUUCGUUGACCCUCUUAGGACAUUUGGGUUCUAGUAAUAGUUUGAGAUGAUGCAUUUCUCAUAGGAUAUCAGUGCGCUUUGCAUUGAGCGGGGUAAAGUUCUCGGUGAAGCUAUCGUAUGGCCUAUAGGAAGGCUUGGUCAUCGACAUGUCCCUCGACCCAUGCUUUUAAUGUUCUUUCUUAGACUCGUAUCCGUCAUGCUUAGGCUAUAUCUUCUCUUUAGCAUCUCGGGAUCUCUUCUCUAUGUUUCUUCCUUCGCCCUUGAUAUAACAUUUCACUCUAUUCAUUACUUCAUCAAUGUUGGUGGCCGGUUUUUAUGCCAAAGAUUCAUUGAAAUGCCCCGCCUUCAGGCUGUUCUGGAAGGCUCCCACAAACAUAUCCUGAUUCGGAUGACAAACCUUUAUUGUUUCUUCAUUAAAUCGCGCCAUAUAUUCACAGAGGAAUUAUGAAGGCCCUGGUAGACGUUGAACAAACUGGUGGUGGACAACGUUUUAUGCUUGCUGGGGGAGAAGUCAUGCACCAUCUUCCUGGUCAGAUCCUAGUAACCGAUGAUUGAAAAUAUAGGUAAGCUCAUAUACCAACGUAAGGCCACAUCCUUAAACGUUCCUCCCAUAUGUUUGAACUUCAAAGAGUCGAAAGUCCCGACUACCAUGAUUUGAUUUUUGAUUGAAAUUAUAUGCUCAUGUGGAUCGCUCUUGCCAUCAAAGGAUGGGAAAGACGGUGACUUGAAAUUCUCAUGGACUUGAUCGCCCCAGAUUUCUUCUGAAAGAGCCUGAGGAUUCAAGAGUUCCUCUUUUGCUUCCUCCUAUGUAACUCUUUGGGAUUGCUGAAGUGUGUGAAAACUUUCUUGCAAGGAGUCGUUCUACUGGCGCAAAUUCUCCAUGAUUGUCAAAAUUUGUGCCAUGUCUAGUGAAAUGUGAGGUUCACUCUUGCUGGGAGAUGACCCAGACAUCAUAUAGAUAACAUUUUUGUGCGGUCUGGGAGAGUUUUAUCGAGGCCUCACGGUGGAUGCCAAUUUUUUUUAUAAACACUUGUUGGAUAAUCUUCCUGAAGCGGGACAUGAGAGAUCAUAAAUGUAAUAGGAUUUAGUGUUGCUUGUCUGUCUCUCUCUUUUGUCUCCCCUUUUUCUUCCUCGAUGAGAAUCCGUUUUAUACCUAUCAUACCUCUAAGGAUCAUUUAAUAAAUGUCCCUUUGAGUCUCAUGUUUAAAUGGUGUUGAUAACGUCCACCGCCCUCAAUACUAUCAUGUAACGUCUUCCUCAUCAUUUUCUAUAACUCCCACACAACCAUGGAGCUACCUUGUAAUCGUUAUGCGUGAUCUAUACACAUCAUCUGAAAACAAGUCUCUCAUAGCCAUGCAAACCGAACUCCUACUUGUCUCAUACUCAACAACCCGGUACUUGUUAUUUUCCACAGAUACUCGGUCUUCCGACUUGCCAUGCUCGACUUUAGGAAUUCCAAGAUAUACAAUAAUAUAUUUUAAUAUUUGUAAACUAUGAUCAAUGUUAAAUAUCAAAAUAACCAUACUAUAAUAUAAUAUUUUGAACAUUAUUUAACUUUUGAAUAGUAGUAUUCAAAUAUAUACUAUAUAUAUAUAUAUAUAUAUAUAUAUAUAUAUAUAUAUAUAUAUAUAAUUAUAUAAUAUAUAUAUUAAUAUAUAUAUAUAUAUAUAUAUAUAUUAAUAAAUAAUAUAUAUAUAUAUAUAUAAUAUUAUAUAUAUAUAUAUAUAUAUAUAUAAAAAACAUCAAAAUAACAAUAAUACAAACAAAACUAAUUUAAGAUUUUGUUUCUUAAUAUUAGUCAUUUUUGUCAAAAUAAUUUAUUUCAUUUUAUAAGUCAUUUAAAUAAUUGGUUUCAAAAUAUAUGUCAUUUUAGUCAAAGUAAUUUGUUUCAAUUUACAAUAUCAUUUAAAUUGUUUUACUCAUACCAUUAAUAAGUAAUAUUUUUAUGAAGUAAAAAUUUAUAACUUAUUUUUCACAAAUCAUAACUAAAUAUAAUUAAUAUAAAAUUAUUAAAAUAACAUUAGUUUGAGACGAAUGAUACUUAUAUUUUUAAUUAUAUAGUUUAAAAAAUCAAGAGUUUAAUGGGUAUGUAGUGUAAAACAUUGUCAUCCAAUAGGAAUUCAUCAACAUAAUAUGUGAGAUUCUCGGUCAGUGUGGUAUCAGAGUGUCGAUAGAAAUAAGGGGUGCAUAUGGUAUGAAUAUAAUAAAGAGAGAGAGAGAGUAAGGGAGAAAACUACUUAAUCAUGGAAAUACCACAACCAAACACUCAAACCAUUACUACCACCUCUUCCUUAUCACUUCCUAAACUCUGUAAGAAGACUGAUAUCCACAAAAUAGAAAACAUUGUUGAGUAUUCUUAUGUUCCAGAAGAUGCUCAAAUUGUUGAAAUAGUACCUCCCAUUUUAAGUCCUUAUAAUAUCUUAAAAAAAACAAUUACCAAAUCCAUCGGAAACCUAAUCUCUACAAACCACCCUCAUAUGAAAGAGUAUGUUCAGUCAUCUCGACUAUACCAAUGUAGUCUGAGAGCUACAAACCAAGAGAAAUAUGUAGAUUUAGAGAUUCCUCAAAGUCUCAUAAAUCACUGAAAAUCAGAAGGAUACAUAACUUUACAUUUUGGAGUGGUCAUGCUCAUCCUCUCUAUCCAUGGAAUGAAAAACCAGCCUGUCUUCGACAAAUAGCUCUCCUAGAUUCGAGAUAUCUACAUUAUGAAAAUGAUUUCAUAUGGAUUGUUAUAACCAUACUUCAUGCGAAAAGUGUUGUCCUCACUAUUUUUCCAAAUUAUAAUGCAAGCCUCAACAAGAGCACUCUAUCCACAAGACUAAAAGUCAAAAUCUAAAUCACGGGAUCUGACCAAGUUCCAGAAGCCAUGUCUGCUACUCUCCAUCACCAAAUAAUUUAUCACUUACAAAAUCAUUCAAUAUAUUUCUCUCUACGCGAUGUUCUUCUAAUUCGCUGUUAGUAGUUACUAAUAGAGAAGAAGAUUUAUUCUUUAUCGUCCAUAUACCAAGAAGAAUCACAAGGGAAGAAUUAACUCGGCUAAUUCCCCUUGAAUGGAUAAUAAAUUAUGAAAAAAUUCAUCAAGAUAGAAGGCAAAUACAAUCUAAAGAGGCUACCUUCAGAAUAUCCAUUGACAAAAUUGUCAAAAUAAUUAUAAAAAAACAAACGAAGGACUGAGUUCAGUUUCUCCAAUUUUCCAAACCAUGAAGAUCUAGCUAUUUCUAAAAUAAUAUUGGUGUCUGGUUCAUGUUGUUACUAGUAAAGGAGAACCUAUCUAUACUGACAAGUUAAAUGAUAACUUUAUUUGGGACAUAGAUCCCAAUAAAUGUGACUAAGGAUGUGAAUGUUGGAUGCACGAUAAUGAUUUUGAAAGAGACGUUAUCCUCCCAAAAAAGAAAAACAAAGGGACGCGCAAACCAUAUCUUCCUCCACGAAGAAGAUAUGAUCCUGAUAACGGUUCAUGGGUUGGAAUCCAUGAGAAAAAUAAACCUAUUUCUAUUUAUGAGGAGGGUCUCAAGAUUCUUAAGAAAGAAAAAUUGUUGCCACCAGAUGAUCCUACUCUUGUCACGUGGUCACCGUCAGACUACUAUAAACCUUUGAAUCCUCCAAAAAAUGUUGAACCAAUCCCUUUCUUUAUGUACUUAACUACAACAUCGGAUUAUAGCCAAAAAAUCCUGCUCAAGAAAGGAAGAUGGAUCCAAUCACAGGCAUAACAUCCAAACCAUUCAUUCAUCCUAAUGAAGUCCAGCCCGAUGGAAAACUUAAACCUUUAACUCAAGCUGAAGAAGUUAUAAAUUGGAAAUUGGAAAAUAUAAUUUCUCAAAAUGAUAUUCUCAAUUUUUUUGACAAAAAGGUGGAUAAGAUUGCUGAGAAAAUAGACGAGACAAAUGAAUAUCUCAAGGUUUUAUCCCAAAAAAUCCAGAUACGUUACAGAAGCCUAAAAGCUCAAGUAUCUUAGUUAGAUCGUGAUUUGUGACAGAUGUUAGAAGAGAUAACUUUUGGCAAAACUUUUGACCAAAAGGAAAUAGAAAUCAGAAAACUGCAAGGCCAAGUUAAAGAGAUAUGUGAUUUCUUAAGAGCCUUUCAUGAAAGAAAGUCCAACCUUGUUGAAAACUCUUUCUUUGACCCUCCUGUUUUCCCUACAUAUUUAAAAUGAAUAGAAAAUCCUUCUCCUUUCUACCCUGCCUAUGUUUCAUCACAACCAAAUCAGGCCAAAUACAUACCUAGAGCUUACAAACCAAAAUCUGCAAGAACUACCAUUACCUCAACCUCCAAGACAAAAAGGAAGGUUGCUUGUUUCAGCGCGUCAUUCUCGGACUCUCGGGAUAUUCCUGACACACCUCCUCCAAAACUCCGGAAGGAAGAACAAAUUCAUGAUAAAGGUUUCCAAUUCAUGGAAAUCACUAGAAGUUACGAAUCUCCCCGAAAGAAUUACUCUCUUACUGAAUCAUCAGCACAAAAGGGAGAUGAGUCCUCCUCAGAUGGUAACAACAACUCUUAUCAAGAAACAUAUGCUGAUAAAACACCGAGAUCUUUUUCGUAGAAAUUAGAAAUUGAAGAUAACCGUAUCCUAAGACUCUUCAUGGAAAAUAUGAAAGACGAAGAAUACUUUUUUGAAGAAUCCCCUAAAGAAACUCUAGUCCCUGAAAUGACUAAACCAAAUGGUGAUCUUUGGUUCACUUUUGAUGAUAUACCACCUAGACACUGGAGAAAGAGACUACUCGAAUUUGGAGCUUGGCUUGACACCCAUAUGAUGAAAACAAGUGCAAAUAGCUAUAUGAUCAUUGAAUAAUUUUGUUGUAGAAUGACAGGCACGAUGAAAGAAUGGCAUCACAAUCUUGGAACUUUCAAACAAGAUGAGUUACACCCUCUAGAAACUACAACUAAUAUUUGUGUUGUGCUUCACCACGAAUUUAUCAGUGAUAUGGAGAUAUUUGAUAGAAAAAAUAGACAUGAAUUCUUUGAGAUAAAAUGUUGUUCCCCAAAACAAAGAACCUCGACAAACACUAUCAUAGAAUGACGCAUAGGUAUUAUCUCCUCAACGGGUACAAUGAUCCUAGUCUGAAGAAUACCUAUGUUUCCUCUCUACCACAAGAACUCCAACCAGAAAUUCGUAGGAUGUUAGAAGCAACUCAAAAGGAUAAAACCACGAGUCUUGGCCAGAUUCAUCAGGUGACAUUGGAAGGAGUUGAAAAGCUUUGCAGUUUUCAUCAUCAAUUUUCAGAAGUUAUAAAACUAAAGUUAGAUUCCACCAAGGUGUGUAAGAAGCCUUACUUGGAGAUUAAGUGUAAAGACAAAAGGUGUAGUUGUGCAAAAAAAAAAGAUCCAUCAUCAUCAAAAAUACACAAAACCUCAUAUGACCUUCAAGGAAAAGAAAAAGAAGUCUAUGAAGUUCUUUAAAAGAAAACCUUUCAGAGGAAAGGGGAAAAAUCAUAGAUGCUUUAUUUGUGGGGAAAAAAGGAAUUUGUCUAAAGAGUGUCCUAAUAAUACCUACAAAACCACAAAGUUGAUCAACUUUCUUCAACCUCUAGAAGGAGACUUAUAAUCCUUAUAUUCUAAACAAAGCUCUGUUGAUGAAGAGACAAUUUUUGCCCUUCAAAACUCUUUGUAUGAUGAAGCAUCAUUUUUGGAGUCAGAAGAUGACAUAUAUUUCACUGUUUACUCCUUCAAUGAAAUAGGAUGUUCUCUUUAUACUCCACCUUUCCAUUGUGUUGAAUCUCAUGUCCUUGCAACAAAGUUUUCCCGUCCGAAGAAAGUUAUAACUUAUAUGGACAUAUGGGCCCAGAUUACAAUGAUGAAUCCUACCACUCUUCCAGCAUAAUCAUGGGAGACACAUGAUGCUUAUUUUGUAGCAGUAGAUGGAAAGGUUUUUAGGACAUAUUUAGUGACCAAAGAGAAGAUAGGAAUUAAAUUAUUCCCAGACUGCAUAGUUUGGACCAGAGUCAUUGGCAGUAAUCUUCCAAACAAAGAUAUUGUAGUAGGAAUGGAUGUCUAUUCAGCAACAAAUAAACUUCAAUUUCUCCCCACAUAAAUUAAAUUCAAAAGAGAACUCAAACCUUAUUCUGGAAUAUUGAAACUAUAUUCAUUUCCUAAAAUCCCUGCUGGCUAUGGAGAAAUCAAGUCCAACCUACUAAAACUCUAUGCAUACAACCAUGAAAAAUUUCCACCAUCCAAAACCUAUAUGGAAAAAUAAAGACUUUUUUGUUCAACUUCCUUUUAGGCUCAAUGAAGAUGUUAAUUCAACAAGGGUCACUCAUCCAGGAAUGAGUCCAUCAGAUUAUACAUUAGCUAGGGAGGAAUGCAACCAGUUGCUCAAACAAGGUCUGAUAGAACCCACCAAAUCAUAAUGGGCUUGUCAAGCAUUUUAUGUAGAAAAGAGAUCAGAAAAGUUGAGAGGAAAGAAGAGGCUAGUAAUUGAUUAUAAACCUCUAAAUCAUUUUCUCAAAGAUGAUAAAUUUCCCAUUCCAAAGUCCUCGUCCUUAAAUGUUUUCAUAAAAGAUGCCCAGAUCUAUUCCAAGUUUGAUCUUAAGUCAGUAUUUUUGUAAUUGGGUAUUGACCCCGAGGACCAUUACAAAACAGCGUUCUGCAUUCCUAACGCCCAGUAUCAAUGGACUAUGUUACCAUUUGGCCUUAAGGUAGCUCUGUCACUUUUUCAAAAGGCCAUGACUAGAAUUUUUUAGCCCAUUUUCAAUAGUAUCCUUAUCUAUAUUGAUGAUGUGCUAUUGUUCUUAAAAGAUAAAAAAACUCAAAGAAUUAUUGAGCCAAUUCCUUCAAAUAGCCCAACAACAUGGAAUGAUGCUCUCUGAAAAGAAAAACCAAUUGGAUAAAACAAAAAUUGAUUUUUUAGGGAUGCAUUUCUCCUAAGGGAAAUAUUAACCCUAACCUCACAUUGAUCAAAAGUUGCUAAACUUUCCAGAUGAAAAUCUUACGAUCAACUAAAUUCAACAAAUUUUUGGUAUUAUGAGUUAUAUCAAAGAUUUUCUACCAAGACUGAAAAAGUAUACCAGUAUUUUGUUCCAAUUACUAAAGAAAAAAGCCACCAUCAUGGGGGACAAAGCAAACUAAAGUCGGUAAGGCUUUAAAGAAGAUCGCACAAAUUCCUCAUGCCUAAAAAAUUCUUAGGAAUGGAAAAAGAAUUCUGCAGACUGAUGCUAGUGAUCACUAUUGGGGAGCAGUCCUAGUAGAACAAAUUGAAAGAAAAAAUAAUAUUGCGGUCAUGCUAGUGGCCAAUUUAAAGAAGAUGAAAAACAAUAUCACACCACAUACAAGGAAGCUCUCAACGUAAAAAUCAAAAUCCAAAAGUUUGACUUCCUCCUAAGAGGUUACCACUUUGAAGUCCAGAUGGACAAUUCUUUUUUCCCAAGAUCCUAGAAUUCAAAAUAAGAUGGCACCAGAUCCUCAAACCCUUCGCCUCAAAGACUGGUUUUCCAUAUAUGAUUUAUCUGUAAAACAUAUCAAAGAAACUCAAAAUAUGAUCCGGAUAUACUAUCUCGACCUAUGAAACCUAUCAAAAUCAUCAAAAUCAAGCACAUUUUUUCCUCUGAUUCUUAUGGUCAAACCACUACCAGCCCAUGCAUCCACAACCAAGAAUCUUCCUCCAGAAAUCACUGUAUCCUCUUCACCGUCCCAACUCAAGAAGUAUUCCUGGAACAAUCUCUUUUAUUACAUGACAAAAAGCUUAAGAAAUAAACUUUGGAUCAUACUCCGUAUUUCUCAGACACACAUUUUAUCCUACCAAUUUUAAUAUUCUCAAAUGCCAAAUUCACAAAAUAAAAUAAAAACAUUUAUGGUAUAUCUGGUGUGCCAGCAGUUCGUAUUUUAUGCCUGUUCUUAUUCCCACAGAAGCCAUGUAUCAACAUAUAAUUGAUCUCGAGAACCACAAGUUUCUGAUUUGGGCUAUUUUUGAAUGGUACUCUCCAUUACAAUGUUGGAGAAAUAAAUUAAAAUUAGUCAUAGAUGAGGACAAAGAGUGGAUAUUGGCCUUAUAAGCUAUUAGCAAACUUAAGAUUGUUUUCUUUCUACACUGACCCUAUCAAACAGAUCCUGCAACUAAGCUACUUGAUUGUAAGAGUUAUAUUCACUUAUGGGAAACCAUUGAUGAUUAUCCUCCCAGUCUAAAUAUCACAAAGAUAUAAAUGGAGUAUGUUAACUUCAUAAAUCUCCAUGAUCCAUAGAACUUCAAUGAUAGUACAACUUGCAUAAGUCAUUAAAAGUUCAGAAGAUCAGAAGUUAGAGAAAGUUGAACUCAAGCCACACAAUAGAAACUGGAUUCUCCAAUGGAAGCUGAACUCUCAGAAGGGCGCGUGGAAUAAACUCAUAGAAAAUUAAUGGAUCACACUUACAAGAUUGAUGACAUCUGGCAGCAUGAGUCAUCUCGUUUUGGAGAUUUCUUUUCUGAAGGAAACUUAUUCAAUCAGAAUAUGUCUCCAAGUCAUAAGCCCAUCUUUAAGGACUAUUUGGACAAGUGUUGCUUAUAUGUCACAAGCAUGUUUAUGAAUAGUUUUUUUUUCUUUUUGUGUAAUAAUACUAUAAUUAUGUAUUCAUAAGUGAUAAGUGUGUUUGACUUUUAAAAAAACUGACACACUUAUCACUUAUGGAUACAUAAUUGUAGUAUUAUCACACAAAAAGACGAAAAACCACUAUUCAUAAACAUGCUUGUGACAUAUGAGAGACACUUGUCCAUUUGGUCUUUAAAGAUGGGCUCAUGACUUGGAGACAUAUUUUGAUUGGAUAAGUUUCCUUCAAGAAAGUAAUUUCCAAAACAAGAUGACUCAUGCUGCCAGAUGUCAUCCAUCAUUUAAGUGUGAUCCAUUAAGUUUCUAUGAGUUUCUUUCACGUGUCCUUCUGAGAAUUCAACUUCCAUUAGAGAGUUUGGUUUCUGCUGUGUGGCUUGAGUUGAGCUUUCUCCAACUUCUGGUCUUAUGAACUUUUCAUGACUUAUGCAAGUUGUCUAUCAUUGAUGUUCUCUAGAUCAUGGAGAUUGAUGAACUUAACAUACUCCAUUAAUUCCUUUGUGAUUUUUAAACUGGAAGGAUAAUCAUCAAUGAUUUCCCAUAGGUGAACAUAACUCUUACAAUCAAGUAGCUUAUGUGCAGGAUAUGUUUGAUAGGGCAUGUGUAAUAAUAAAUCAGUCUUGAGCAUGUUAAUAGCUUCUAAGACAAAUCUUUGCUCUUUUACCUUAUUUAUGAUUGGUUUUAAUUGAUUUCUCCACCAUUGUAAUGGAGAGUACCAUUCAAUAGUAGUCAAAAUCAGGGACUUGUGGUUCUUGGGAUCCAUUAUAUGUUGAUACAUGGCUUUGGCGGGAAUAAGAACAUGCAUAAAAUACAAACUAGGGCACACCAGAUAUACCAUAAAUGGUUUUUUUUUAAUUUUGCAUUUGGGUUUAUUAAAAUUGAUAGGAGAAAAGGUGUGUCUGGGAAAUAAGGAGUAUGAUCCGGGAGUUUAUUUCUUAUGAUUUUUGUCAUGUAAUAAAAUUGAGUAUUCUUAGCAUAUUGCUUGAUCUGGGACGGUGAAGAGGAUACAGUGAUUCCUAGAGGAAGAUUCUUCGUUGUGGAUGUAUGGGCUAGUAGUGGUUUGACCAUACGAAUCAGAGGGAAAAUGUGCUUGUCUGUGAUGACCUGGAUAAGUCUUAUAGGUAGGGAUAAUAGAUUAGGGAUCACAUUUUGAGUUCUUUUGAUAUGUUUUACAAAGAAAUCACAUAUGGAAAACCAAUCUUUGAGGGGAAGAGUUUAAGGAUCUGAUGGCAUCUUAUUUUUGAAUUUGAGGAUCUUGGGAAAAGAGGAAUUAUCCAUCUGGACUAAAAACUGGUAACCUCUUAAGUGGAAGUUAAACUUUUGGAUUCCCAUUUUUACGGUGAGAGCUUCCUUGUAGGUGGUGUGAUAGUGUUUUUCAGCUUCUGUAAAUUGGCCACUCGCAUGACUACAAUAGUUAUUUUUUCCUUCAAGUUCUUCUACCAAGACUGCUCCCCAAUAGUGAUCAUUGGCACCGGUCUGCAGAAUUCUUUUGCCAUUCUCAGGGAUUUUCAGGGCAUGAGGAGUUUGUGUGAUCUUUUUUAAAGCCUUAACAACUUCAGCUUGCUUUGUCCCCCAUGGUGGUGGCUUUUUCUUGAGUAAUUGGGACACAGGGUUGGUAUACUUUGUAGGUCUUAGUAGAAAAUCUUUGAUAUAAGUGAUAAUACCAAGAAAUUGUUGAAUUUGCUUGAUCUUAAGAUUUUCAUCUAGAAAGUUUAGCAACUCUCGAGCAAUAUGAGGUUGGGGUUGAUAUUUCCCUUGGGAGAAAUGCAUCCCUAAAAAAUCAAUUUCUGUUUGGCCCAAUUGGUUUUUCUUUUCAGAGAGCAUCAUUCCAUUUUGUUGGGCUAUUUGAAGGAAUUGGCCCAAUAAUUGUUUAUGGGUUUUUUCAUCUUUUGGGAACAAUAGAACAUUAUCAAUAUAUAUGAGGAUACUAUUGAGAAUAGGCUAAAAAAUUCUAGUCAUGGCCCUUUGAAAAAGUGAUGGAGCUACCUUAAGCCUAAAUGGCAACAUAGUCCAUUUGUAUUGUGCAUUAGGAGUGCAGAACACCGUUUUGUAACGGUCCUCAAGGUUAAUACCUAAUUGACAAAAUCCUGACUUAAGAUCAAACUUGGAAUAGAUCUGGGCAUCUUUGAUGAAAACAUUUAAGGAUGAGGCCUUUGUAAUGGGAAAUUUAUCAUCUUUGAGAAAAUGAUUUAGAGGUUUGUAGUCAAUUACUAGCCUUUUUUUUCCUCUCAACUUUUCAGAUCUCUUUUCUACAUAAAAUGCCUGGCAACCCCAUUUUGAUUUAAUGGGUUCUACCACACCUCGUUUGAGCAGUUGGUUACGUUCUUCCCUAGCUAAUGUAUAAUCUGAUUGACUCAUUCCUAGAUUAGUGGCCUUGUUUGGAUUAACAUCUUCAUUGAGCUUAAAAGAAAGUUGAACAAAAAAGUAUUUAUUUUUCCAUAGAGGUUUUGGAUGGCGGAAUUUUUCAUGGAUGUCUGUAUAGAGUUUGAUUAGGUUAGACUUUAUUUCUCCAUAGCCAUCAGGGAUUUUAGGAAGUGAAUAUAGUUACAAUAUUCCAGAAUAAGGUUUGAAUUCUCUUUUGAAAUUAAUUCUUAUGGGGAUAAUUUGAAGUCUAUUUGUUGAUAAAUCAACAUCCAUUCCUACUACUCUAUCUUUGUUUAGAAGAUUACUACCAAUGACCCUGGUCUAGAUUAUGCAGUUUGGGAAGAAUUUAAUUCAUAUAUCCUCUUUGGUCAUUAAAUCUUUUUCUAAAACUUUUCAAUCAGCUGCUACAACACAAUAGAGGCGUGGAGUAUAAAGAGAACUUCCUAUUUCAUUGAGGUAGUAAACAUUGAAAUAUUUGUCAUCUCCUGACUCCGAAAAUGAUGUUUCAUCAUACGAAGAGUCUUGAAGGAUAAAAAUUGCCUCUUCAUCAACAGAGCUUUGUUCAAAAUACAAGGAUUAUAAGUCUCCUUCUAUAGGUUGAAGAUAGUUGAUCAACUUUGCGGCUUUGUUGGUAUUAUUAGGACACUCUUUAGAGAAAUGCCUUUUUCCCCCAUAAAUAAAGCAUCUCUAAUUUUUCCCCUUUCCUCUGAAAUGUUUUCUUAUAAAGAACUUCAUAGACUUAUUUUUCUUUCCCUUGAAGGUCCUAUGAGGUUUUGUAUAUUUUUUAUGAGGAUGCUUCUUUUUUGUUGCACAACUAAACCUUUUGUCUUUACACUUAAGGUCCAAGUAAGUAUUCUUACAUGCCUUGGUGAAUUUUGACUUUUGUUUUAUAACUUCUGAAAAUUGAUGAUGAAAACUACAAAGCUUUUCAACUACUUCCAACGUCACUUAAUGAAUCUGGCCAAGACUCGUGGUUUUAUCCUUUUGAGUUGCUACUAACAUCCUACGAUUUUAUUGCUAGAGUUCUUGUGGUGGAGAGGAAACAUAAGUAUUCUUGAGACUAGGAUCAUUGUAUAUGUUGAGGAGAUAAUACCUUUGUGCCAUCUUAUGAUAGUGUUUGUCGAGGCCCUUUGUUUUGAGGGAACAACACUUCAUCUCAAAGAGUUCCAGUCUAUUUUUCUAUCAAAGAUCUCGAUAUCACCGAUAAAUUCAUGGUCAAGCACACCAAGAAUAUUAGUUGUAGUUUUUAGAUGGUGUAACUCAUCUUGUUUGAAAGCUUCAAGACUGUGAUUCCAUUUUUUCCUCGUGUCCGUCAUUCUAUAGCAAAACUCAUCAAUUAUCUUAUAGCUAUCUGGACUUGUUUUCAUCAUCUGGGUGUCAAGCAAAGCUCCAAAUUCAAGUUGUCUCUUUCUCCAACGACUAGAUGGUAUAUGAUCAAAAGUGAACCUAGGACUUCCAUUUGGUUUAUUCCUUUCAGGGACUAGAGUUUCUUCAGGGGAUUCUUCAAAAACGUAUUCUUCCUCUUUUAUAUUUUCCAUGUAGAGUCUUUGGAUAUAGUUAUCUUCAGAUUCUGAUUUCGAUGAAAAAGAUCUCGGUGUUUCAUCAACAGGUGUUCCUUGAUAAGAGUUAUUGUCACCAUCUGAGGAGGACUCAUCUCCCUUUUGUGUUGAUGAUUCAGUAAGAGAGUAAUUCUUUCGGGGAGAUUCAUAAUUUUUAGUGACUUCUAUGGCUUGGAAACCUUCAUCAAGAAUUUAUUCUUCCUUUUGGAGUUUUGGAGGAGGUGUUUCAGGAAUAUCUUGAGAGUCCGAGGAUGAAGCGCUCAAACUUGAAGCUUUCCCUUUUGUAUUGGAGGUUGAGGUAGUGGUAGUUCUGGAAAAUUUUGGUUUGUAAGUUGUAGGUAUGUAUUUGGCCUGAUCUGGUGGUGAUGAAACAUAGAGAGGGUAGAAAGGAGAAGGAAUUUUUGGUAGUUUGAAAUAUGUAGGGAAAGAAGGAGGGUCAAAGAAAUAGUUUUCAACAAGCUUGGGCUUUCUUUCAUGAGAGGCUCUUAUGAAAUCAUCUAUCUUUUUAACUAGGCCUUGCGGAUUUCUGAUUUCUCUUUCUUUUUGGUCAGAAGUUUUGCCAAAAGUUCUCUCUUGUAACAUAUGUCGCAAAUCACGAUCUUGUUGAGUUACUCGAGCUUUUAGGCUUCUGUAAUGUUUCUACAUUUUUUGGGAUAUAACCUUGAGAUACUCAUAUAUCUUGUCUAUUUUGUUAGCAAUCGUAUCCACCUUUUUGUCAAGAUUUUAGAGAAUAUCAUUUUGAGAAAACAAGUUUUCCGAUUUCCAAUUUAGAAUUUCUUCAGCUUGAGUUAAAGGUUUAAGUUUUCCAUGAGGCUGGACUUCAUUAAGAUGAAUGAACAGUUUGGAUGUUCUGCCUGUGGUUUGAUCAAUCUUCGUUUCUAUAGCGGGAAAUUGUUGGCUAUAAUUCGAUGUUGUAGAUGACUACAUAAAUCAAGGGAUUGGUCUAACAUUUUUUUGGAAGAUUCAAAGGUUUACAGUAGUCUGAUGGUGACCACGUAACAAGAGUAGGGUCAUCUGGUGGCAACCAUUUUUCUUUCUUGAGAAUCUUAAGAGCUUUCUCAUAAAUAGGAAGAGGUUUGUUUAUCUAAUGGAUUCCUACCCAUGGACCAUUAUCAAAUCAUAUCUUCUCUGUGGAGGAAGAUAUGGUUUGCGCAUCUCUUUGUUUUUCUUUUUUGGGAGAAUAAUGUCUCUUUCAAAAUCAUUAUCGUGCAUAUAACAUUCACAUGCCGAGUCGCAUUUAUUGGGAUCUAUGUCCCAAAUAAAGUGACCUUUUAUCUUGUCAGUAUAUAUAGGUUCUCCUUUAAUAGUAACAACAUGAAUCGAGAACCAAAAUUAUUUGAGAAUCGGUUGGAUCUUCAUGGUUUGGAAAAUAGGAGAAAUUGGACUCGGCCCUUUGUCUGGUUUUUUGAAAAAUAAUUUAACAAUUUGGCCAUAGUAUCUUCUGAAGGUAACCUCUUGAGAUUGUAUUUGUCUUCUAUCUUGAUGGAUUUUUUUAUAAUUUAUUAUCCAUUCAAGCGGAAUCAACUGAGUUAAUUCUUCCCUUAUGAUUCUUAUUGGUAUCUGGAUGAUAAAGGAUAGAUAUUCUUCUUUAUUAGUAACUACUAAUAGCAAAGCAGAAGAACAUCUUGUGAUAGGAAAAUAUAUCGAAUGAUUUUGUAAGAGAUAUAUUAUUUAGGGAUGGAGAGUAGCAGACAUGGGUUCUGGAACUUGGUCAGAUCCAGUGAUUUGGAUAUGGACUUUUAGUCUUGUGGAUAGAGUGUUUCCGUUGAGGCUUACAUUAUAAUUUUGGAAAAAUAGUGAGGACAACACUUCUCGCAUGAAGUGUGGUUAGAAAAGUCCAUAUGACAACAUUUUCAUAAUGGAGAUAACUCGAAUCUAGGGGAGCUAUUUAUCGAAGACAUAUUGAUUUUUCCUUCCAUGGAGAAAGGGGAUGAGCCUAACCACUCCUAAAUGUAAAGUUGUGUAUCCUUCUGAUUUCUAGUGAUUUAUGAGACUCUGAGGAAUCUCUAAAUCUACAUAAUUCUCUAGGUUUGUAGCACUCAUACUACAUUAGUCUUGUCGGGAUGAUUGGACAUACUCUUUCAUAUGAGGGUGGUUUGUAGAGAUCAAGUUUAUGAUGGAUCUGGUAAUUGUUUUUUUUAAAGAUAUUAUAAGGACUUAAAGGGGGAGGUGUUAUUUCAUCAAUUUAAGCAUCUUCUGGAACAUAGGAAUACUCAACAUGGUUUUCUAUUUUCUGAGUAUCAGUCUUUUUACAGAGUUUAGGAAGUGAUAGGGAAGAGAUGGUAGUAAUAGGUUGAAUGUUUGGUUGUGGUGUUUCCAUGAUCAAGUAUUUUUCUCCCUUACUCACUUUUUUUAUUUUAUUCAUACUAUAUUCACCCCUUCUUUUGUCGAGGCUCUGAUACCACACUAAUUGGGAGCCUCACACAUCAUGAAACCAACCUUAAUUGUAUCUUCAACAAAUAGCCAACCAUAUGCAUAACAUAAACUAAUAGUUAAAAUUGACAUUCCCUAACAGUGAGGAACAUAGUAUAGAUUGAAGGUCAGAUGUUUUCUGAUACACAAGAUCCUCAUUUAGAGGCAAGUGAAGAGCAUACUUGUAUCUUUGCAGGGGAAUUAUGAUAUGAAUAUAAUUACUAAAGCUUUUAGGGAGAAAGGAAAUAUUUUUAGAACAUGGUUAUUCUUAAGCACAUAAGAAGAUUUAUUUGUGAUUGUUUGCGAAAAAUAUGUUACAAGAGCUGUCCUUUUAUAGACAAGGAGGAACAUAUAGAACAAAAACAACAUUAUUUAUAAGAAUUUCAUCUUUAGUACUAUAGAAAUGCCUUUUUUCAAAAGUUCAACACACUUAUCACUUUAUGGAUACGAAAUUGUAGUAUUAUUACCCAAAAUGACGAAAAACCACUAUUCAUAAACAUGCUUGUGACAUAUGAGAGACACUUGACCAUUUGGUCUUUAAAGAUGGGCUCAUGACUUGGAGACAUAUUUUGAUCGGAUAAGUUUCCUUCAGAAAAGCAAUCUCAAAAACGAGAUGACUCAUGCUGCUAGAUGUCAUCCAUCAUGUAAGUGCAAUCCAUUAAGUUUCCAUGAAAAUUUUCCACGUGUCCUUCUGAGAGUUCAGCUUCCAUUGGAGAAUUUGGUUACUGUUGUGUGGCUUGAGUUGAGCUUUCUCCAACUUCUGGUCUUUUGAACUUUUCAUGACUUAUGCAAGUUGUACUAUCAUUGAUGUUCUCUGGAUCAUGGAGAUUGAUGAAGUUAACAUACUCCAUUAAUUCCUUUAUGAUUUUUAGACUGGGAGAAUAAUCAUCAAUGGUUUCCAAUAGGUGGACAUAACUCUUACAAUCAAGUAGCUUAUGUGCAGGAUCUGUUUGAUAGGGCAUGUGUAGAAAGAAAACAGUCUUCAGUUUGCUAAUAGCUUCUAAGGCUAAUCUUCGCUCUUUUACCGAGUACUAUUCAAUAGUAGUCCUAAUCAGGGACUUGUGGUUCUCAGUAUCCUUUAUGUGUUGAUACAUAACUUUGGUGGGAAUAAGAACAUGCAUAAAAUACAAAUUGGUGACACAUCAGAUAUACCAUAAAUGUCUUUUUUAUGAAUUUAGCAUUUAGGUUUAUUAAAAUUGGUAAGGAAAAGGUGUGUCUGGGAAAUAAGGAGUAUGAUCCAAGAGUUUAUUUCUUAUGAUUUUUGUCAUGUAAUAAAAAAUAUUAUUCCUGGUAUACUGCUUGAGCUGGGACGAUAAAGAGGAUACAAUUAUUUCUGGAGGAAGAUUCUUGUUGUGAAUGCAUGGGCUGGUAGUGGUUUGACCAUAAGAAUCAGAGGGAAAAUAUGCUUGGCCGUGAUGAUCUGGAUAAGUUUAAUAGGUUGGGAUAGUAGAUCAGGGAUCACAUUUUGAGUUCCUUUGAUAUGUUUUACAGAACAAUCAUAUUUGGAAAACCAAUCUUUGAGGCGAAGAGUUUGAGGAUCUGAUGGCAUCUUAUUUUUGAAUUCAAGGAUCUUUUGAAAAGUGGAAUGGUUCAUCUGGACUUCAAACUGGUAACCUCUUAAGUGGAAUCAAACUUUUGGAUUCCCAUUUUUAUGGUGACAACUUCCUGAUAGAUGGUGUGAUAGUGUUCUUCAACUUCUUUAAAUUGACUAUUGGUAUGACCGUAAUAGUAUAUUUUUUCUUUCAAGUUCUUCUACCAGGAAUGCUCCCCAAUAGUGAUCAGCGACAUUAGUCUGCAGAAUUAUUUUGCCACUCCUAAGGAUUUUCAGGGUAGAAGGCGUUUGUGUGAUCUUCUUUAAAGCCUUAAGGACUUUAAUUUGCUUCAUCCCUCAUGGUGGUGGCCUUUUCUUGAGUAAUUGGGAUAGAGGACUAGUAUACUUUGGCGGUCUUGGUAGAAAUUUUCUGAUAUAAUUGAAAGUACAAAGAAAUUAUUGAAUUUUCUUAAUCAUAAGAUUUUCAUUUGGAAAGUUCAGCAACUCUUGAGUAAUGUGAGUUUAGGGUUGAUAUUUCCCUUGGGAGAAAUGCAUCCCUAAAAAUCAAUUUCUUUUUGGCCCAAAUGGCCUUUAUUUUCAUAGAGCAUCAUCCCAUGUUGGUGGGCUAUUUGAAGGAAUUGGCCCAAUAAUUAUUUAUGGGUUUUUUCAUCUUUUGAGAACAAUAACACAUCAUCAAUAUAAAUAAGGAUACUAUUGAGAAUGGGCUCAAGAAAUUAAGUCAUGGCCUUUUGAAAAAGUGAUGGAGCUACCUUAAGCCAAAAUGAUAACACAAUCCAUUGGUACAGGGCAUUAGGAAUGCAGAACGCCCUUUUAUAACGGUCCUCGAGGUCAAUACCCAAUUGCAAAAAUCGUGACUUAAGAUCGAACUUGGAAUAGAUAUAGGCAUCUUUGAUGAAAACAUUUAAGGAUGAGGCCUUGGGAAUGGGAAAUUUAUCAUCCUUGAUAAAAUGAUUUAGAGGUUUGUAGUCAAUUACUAGUCUCUUUUUUCCUCUCAACUUUUCAAAUAUUUGUACUACAUAAAAUGCUUGGCAAGCCCAUUCUGAUUUGGUGGAUUCUAUUAGACCUUGUUUGAGAAACUGGUUUCAUUCUUCCCUAGCUAAUGUAUAAUUUGAUUGACUCAUUCCUGGAUGAGUGGCCUUGGUUGGAUUAACAUCUUCAUUGAGCUUAAAAGGAAGUUGAACAAAAAAGUAUUUAUUUUUCCAUAGAGGUUUAGGAUGGCGUAAUUUUUCAUGGUUGUCUGCGUAGAGUUUGAGUAGGUUAGACUUGAUUUCUUCAUAACUAUAAGGGGUUUUAGAAAGUGAAUAUAGUUUCAAUGUUCCAAAAUAAGGUUUAAAUUCUCUUUUGAAUAUGAUCCCCGUCGGGAGAAUUUGAAGUCUAUUUGCUGCUGAAUAGACAUCCAUUGCUACUACAAUAUCUUUGUUUGGAAGAUUACUGUCAAUGAACCUGCUCCAACCUAUGUUGUAUGGGGAGAUUUUAGUUCCUAUCUUCUCGUUGGUCAUCAAGUUUUUCCUAAAAUCUUUCCAUUUGCUGCUACAAAGUAUGCAACAUGUGUCACCCAUGAUUCUGCUGAGAGAAUGCUAGGAUUCAUCAUUGUAAUAUGGGCCCUAAUGUCCAUAUAAGCUUUAACUUUAUUUGGACGGGAAAACUUUGUUGUAAGGAUAUGAACCUAAACACAAGAGCUUAAACACAAGAGAGGGGUGGAGUGGGAAGAGAACUUCCUAUUUCUUUGAAGGACUAAACAUGGAAAUAUUUGUCAUCUUCUGACUCCGAAAAUGAUUCUUCAUCAGAAGAAGAGUCUUGAAGGUAAAAAAUCAUCUUUUCAUCAGUAGAGCUUUGUUUAGAAUACAGGGAUUCUAAGUCUCCUUCUAAAGUUUAAAGAGAGUUGAUCAGCUUUGCGACUUUGUGGGUAUUAUUAGGACACUCUUUAGAUAAAUUCCCCAUUUUCCCAUAAAUAUAGCAUCUCUGAUUCAAAGUAUAUCCAACUCAAAAAUCUAUCUUGGUUUGAUAUCAGCUCAUGGAAGAUCCAUGUUUGGUUUAGAGACUAAUCGCUAUGAGCAUUGUUCAUUGUAUUGUUAAAAGUUAGCCUGAAAACUUCAUUUCUUUGUAUAUGGAGGUUUGUGGGCACAUCCUUCUAAAAGCUCUCAAGUUUAGUGGAUACUCUCAAGAAUAAUUCUUUAGGACAUGAGUAGGUUAUCUUAGGUUAAACAUGCAUCAUUCUCUGGUGGUCCUUCUUCUCCCUUAUCUCUUUUAUUUCUAGUUAUUUUCUUUCCUUUGAUUUUCCAAUGCUUAUUUACUAGCUUGUUUUACAAAAUAUUUUCAAACUGUUAUUUGCAAAUGAUUUUGUUUUAAACUAGAGUUUUUCAAACCUACACACUUCACCCUCCUCUUGGGUAUGGAGUCACAUAUCAAAUAUAAUCUUCUCAUGAGGUAGUAUAAUAUAAUGGACUUGUGAUCAAAUUUAUAUAUCAUGAUACAUCAACUUCUAAACAUUGGAUUGUCUGUAGUCAUCCCCUUCAUGCAUUCACUCAUUCAUAGAAUUAAUGAUUGUUCAAUCAAGAUUUGAUGAUCCAAAAGAAUAUAUACUUUAAUUUAUAUUAUAAUUUAAAAUUUACAACUUAAAUCAGAAUCGUCUGAUCUUGAUUGAACGAUCACUAAUACCUUAAAUGUUUAAAUGUGUGAACCAUGAUUGCAGGGAAUCUACAUCUCAAAUACAAAAAACACUAUUACAAAAAACACAUUUCGUAACAAUGUAUAACUAGAACCACUUAACCAACCGGAGUAAUAUAUAUUCAUUAGGCGCCUUUUGUUUUUUGUAUUUAUAAAUUUCAUAUAACCAUUGUUCAUAAAAACAACUAAUGUGUUAUGUGAAAUAAUGACACACUUCAAAUCCCCACACCACACCUGCAAUUUUCUAUUUAUAAAUAAGAAUUAAACACUUUUCCCCACAGUCCAUAAGAAGAACCAUUUGUAGUUAAAAAGGAUGACACUUUACCAUGGUUCUUUUUGUCAAUCGUGGUGAAAUAUAUUACCUAUAAAACCUAACUAAAAUAUGUUCAAAACGGAUUGUUCUCAAAGGAAAUCCUAACUUCUCUUGUCUUAUCCCAAUAUCUCAAAACUCCAAUAUAACUUCACCCACUAUUAUGAAUCAAGGAAAUGUUUCACAAAUAUUUGCAAGACUAGACAAGUAGUUCAUUUCUUUGUCUUUGUUGUCCAUGUAUCUUUUCAAUGAAAGUUACGUUCGUGAAACAUUAUAUAAGCUGAUGUUAUUGUUGUUCAAAGUUUCAGUCUUGUUUUUCUUGUUCAAAGUAUAUGUGAAACAAAUGGUUUUUUUUUUCUUGUUGUUAAGAUGAUAUUUUAGUUUUUAUAUUGUUGCUUUUUUGGAGAUUAGUAAAGGGUUUAAGUUAUUGAUGAGGUAUAUUGUUGUUUUGUUAAGGUAGUUUGUUGUUUAUGUCAAGGUAAGUUAUUAUUUUUUGUUGAUAAAUGUUAUUAUUUAUGUUACUGUAGAUGUUUUUUUAUUAGGUUGGUUGAUUUUUUUCUGGAGGUAUGUUAUUGUUUUAUUAUGGUAACGUCGCAGUGUGAAAAGUAUGCAUCGCACGCUCAUGGAUGAUAAACAGAGUCGACACUGAACUUUAUUUAUUCAAAAAAAGAAAAAGGAAAAAAUCGAUAAAACCCUUAAAAGAUCACAAAGAUACGGUCGUCGUAACCAAAUUAGACUUGAGAAUCGAUUAUGCAAGGGAAAGGUAUUAGCACCCCUCACAUAUGUUGUACUCAACGGGAACCAUUUAGUUAGUUUUACACUUAAGUGUUAGCUUUGAAAUGUUUGCUUUCUUGAGUUAUUAAAAAUUCAAAGAGAAAAAAGAAAAAGUUUGCAAACAAGUUUUUUUUAUUAAGGUGUCUGACAAGAUUACGGGUCUUUCUCCUACGUAUCUCUGGGUGCGAUGGAGAACUCAAAGCUACGUAGUUAUGGGUAGAAAAUGUUUGUUUGUGGGUCAAUUUUAACGAAAGCUAUUUUUUCGCAAUCGAACGGAAAAUACUGCUUACCCAAAACAGUGGAGGAGAAUGUGUUUUCAACAUAAUAUAAUGGAUUAACAAAUCAACAUUCGCGGGAAAACGUCACUUAACUCACUCACACAUAUAAGUAGAUGACACAUUAUUUUUCAUCGUCUCAAGACGAAACAUCUUUCGUUUAAAAAGUGUUUGAAGUUUAAUGCCAAAAGGCAAAAGUUUGAAUGUGUUGGACAUAUUUUUGUAUGAUGACAAACACUUAGAUGGUCAAAAUACACACCUCGUAUCCAAACACUCGGGGAUAGCGUGAUAUACACCACAUUCCUUUUUCAUCUUAUUUGUGAAAGGGAUGUAUAUGAUUAAGCAUUUUUUGGUUAGAAGACGAACAUUCGGAUGGUCAAGAUAUACACCUCAUAUCCAAACACUGGGGAUAACAUGAUAUAUACCACGAUCCUUUUUCGUUCAAUUUAUUAUAAAAAUGAAUUUGAAAACAAACACGCUUUUAAGAGUUUUUUAAAGGGAUGAUGAGUGCUCGGAUGGUCGAGAUAUACACCUCGUAUCUAAACCCUCGGGGAAAUCGUGAUUUACACCAUGUUCAUUUUUCAUCUUUAUUUAUGGAAAAAUGUUUGAUGAUGAUUAGGUAUUUUUUUAUUUUUUUAUUAGGGAAAUGCGCUCGAUGUUGAUCGAAGUUUGAUUUGCAUUGCAAAAUGAUUUGUAUUUGGUUUGAAAUGAUGGUUGAAAUUGAUUUUAAAAGUGAUUGGAAAUUAUGGUUAAAUGGUUUUUAAAUUGAAAUUUGUGGUGAAUUUUUUUUUUAAAAUUAAAAGAUAAAAAAAGAUUAAUUUGGAAAAAGAUUAUUAUUUACAAGUAAUAAGAUUUUUUUUAAUAAAUUAGUUUAAAAAGAAAGUCUUUUUUUUUAGUUUUUAAUAGUUUGAUAAUUUAAAUAAUCAAACAACAAAACAAAUAUGUAUAUAAACACAUAAAUAUUUACACAUGUAAUAAAAUAAAUAAAUAAAUAUAUAAAUAAAAUGUUCAAUAUUAUUUACAAAUAGUGGUUGAAAUGAAUAACAUAAAAUAAAAUAUAAAAUAACAAAAGAAAAAAUGAAAACAAAUUAAACAAAAGAAACAAGUAAACAUGGGCUAAAAAACCCAAAUAAAGGGGUGUGCAUAUCAUAGACGUGGGGUAAGGCCCAAAAGUGGUCCAAAUAAAGGGGUGUGCAUAGCAUAGACGUGGGAUAAGACCCAAAACUGGUCCAAAUAAAGGGGUGUGCAUAUCAUAGACGUGGGGUAAGACCCAAAAGAUCAGGACUCAUCCAUAUGGCAUAUUGUGGACGGUUGAAAGAUCAGUUAUUAACAUGUGAAUGGGAGAAAGGGAUUCAUUUCUCACUUAUUUUUAUCUCUCUUCAAUUCGUACCUCUCUCACACUCUCUGAAUAAAAACACAAACACACAUGAACAAUGGGUGGUGGAGGAUCCGAGCCGGUCGAACCUAUGAAGGUAUGUGACAAUGCAUAUGAAUGUGCAUGGUGGUGUAACAGCUGGAAUUCAUAUUGAACCUCCUCCUAGGGGUUCUCAACCUUAUAAACUCAAAUUCGAACUCCAAAUCCCCAGAAACCUCAUAUAAACCCCUCAAUUGAAAUCACAGUAACAAACCCUAAUUUCCAAACUAAAAAAACCCAAUAAACACGAACACAAUGAAAUCAACAAAGAAGAAAAGCCUAAAUGCGACAAGCAACAUAGUUAAUCAUGGAAAAUGCAAAAGGGAGAUAAGGAAGUUACCCGACCGGACAUUACCGGUGAAAAGACUUCAUCGGAGUAAUUUCCUUUCUCUUUUUGUUUCUUCUUUCUAAAACUCUCAUCUACUCCUUCUUUUUCGAUUAUGGCUUUGCUUGAUGUGCUGGUUUUGUUGUAUUUGUGUUGUUGUUAUUAGCCUUGUCUAAAUCUUAAGCUCAAUUUGAUCAAGAGUUUCAAAUGUGAAGCUCUGAACAACCAGAAUGAAGGAGCUCUAUUGAUUUUGGUUUUAGGGAUUUUGUGAAUGUAGUCUGAGUUUUUUUGAUAGCUCUAAGAUUUAGGGUUUUCCAAUUUUGCGUUCUUGCCUCUCAAUAGGUUUUCUCUCUGUGUAUCUUUGUCGCGCCGCGAAAAAUACAUAGUCGCCACCGAAUUUCAUUUUUUCCAAAGGAAUGGGGAAAUAUCACCCUUAAAAGUAAAAGAAGAUGGUCAUUGCAACCAAAUUCAGGUUCGGGAGUCAAUUAUGCAAUGGGAAAGUAUUAGCACCCCUCACAUUUGUUGUACUCAAUGGGAACUGUUUUGAUUGUUUUGCACAAAUGGGUGUUAUUAUCUAAAGGUUACUUGUGAUUGAUAUUAAUUAAGGGGGAAAUAAGUUUUUAAUUAAUGUGCUCGCCAAGAUUUUGGAAUCAUGUACCUACGUAUUCCCAUAGUGCAAUGAGAAAAUCAGAGCCCCGUAGUUCGUGGUAUAGAAAAUAAGUAUUUGUUGGUUGUUUUUUAUGAAAAGCUUUUGAAUGUCCUAAGAUGAGAAAAUUGAAUUUGAUUGGUUGUGAUUGAUUUAAGUGGGAGACAAGUACCGGAACACAAGCUAGGUACAACCGACAAUCUAAGUACUCGAUAGCUGAAAGGACAAGUGCAUCAUGACCUCUCUUUUUCAUCCCAAAAGUUUUUAUUUAUGAAAUUUGUGAGGCGUUGUACUUAGAGGGAGACAAACAUCUAACCACAAGCUAAGUACGAUCGACAAUCAGAAUACUUGGGAGCUUAAAGGACAAGUGCAUCCCGACCUCUCUUUUCCAUUCCAUGAGGACCAAAUUAAACUCGUUUAUUUUUAAGUGUUUUAAAUAGAAGACGAGUACUGAGCCAUAAGCUAACCACGACCAACAACCCAAGUACUUGAUAAAUUGUGUGGACAAGUACGUACACCCCAUCCUUUUUCAUUUGGUUUAUUGUGAAAAUGUUCAAAAAUGACUUGACGUUGGAUCAAGUGUUUGAAGUUGAUUAAUUUUAAGUUAGGAAUUAACUAAGACGACAAUAUAACCGAAUGGAAUGCGAUAAAAUAAGCAAGAAAUACAACUCGAGGGAGAGGGAUACAUAUUGUCAAAUGGAGAAUAAUAUGGCAAAUAAAAGAGAUUUGUAAAUUAACCGGGUUUGAGGAUCAUUAACCAAAUAACUAAGUGAAUUGUCAUAAUUUAAUUAAUCAAUUAAAAUCAAUUAAUUAAACAAACCAAAAAUUAAUUAUCAAGAAUUAUUGAAAAAAAUUUAAUAUAGUCAAAUAAUCAAGCUAAUCAAAAUCAAUUAACAAAAUUAACUGAUUAAUACAAUUUUUGACUAGUUAGUCAAUUAAUAUAUUUAAAAAUAUAUUUUUUUUGCAAAGAAACAAAGGUAUCCACUAAAUACUCAACCUUAAAAAUCUAACAUUUUCCGAUUUUUUAUUUAAAGUGACUAUUAUAGGUUUACAUCCAUAUAAGUAAACAUAUCUAGCAAUAAGAAUAGAAAAUUCACAACAUAAUUUAUAUCCUUCUUAAUCAAAGUUCAUAACAUCGUAAUCAUAAUAAGUGUGGACCAAUUUUGUUAACAUUAGCAUUUCAACAAUUCAACUUUACGCGAAACAAAGACAAACAAGAUUAAAACGAUUCAAUAAUUAUAGAAAAUAAACAUUUACUCAAAAUAUUCCUUUCACCUUCAUUUACCUUAGAAGAAAAUAAAUCAACCGCCCAAAUUUCCAAGGCCAACACAAAGUGAAUUUCCAAAAGCAAUGUGAAUUGGAAAUUCACGACAGAAACAACAAUUCAUAUAUGAUUUGGAAAUUCCAAAAGCAAUGUGAAUUUCCGCUUAAACUCUAUCGAUUUCGGUUCGUAUUUGUUUCCGUUCAGAAUUUCCGUUUGGAAUCGAAGUUAUAAUUUGAGUUUCGAGCAAAAACUUGGUUCAGAACUUAGUGUAUUUGAAAACGAAAACGAGUCUUUCAAAGAAAAUGAAGCGUACUUAGGAUCUUGAAUUUACAAUUAAAAGUAUAGUGGUCUGAGAUCAGUGGUUCAUUGUCAUAGAAGUUUUAGAGGUAUGCAUGGGUAUAAGUUUCAACAUAAGAUUUGCAAAGGUCUGUGUGCAUAUUAACAGUGUAGACUGUAGUCUCAUUACUGCCAGAGUCCAUUUAUCUUGCUGCAGUAACUUAUUAAAUUUAUGCAUUUUUUUCAUUUUUUUUAAAAUUAAGUCAAUUCUUUUAUGGUGGAUUGUUGAAGUUUCAAGAUGAAAUGACGAUGAUUGAGGUUGAUGAAGAUUAUGGUUGUGGUAGGUUUUUAUUGGAAUGUGGUUGAAGCUUGGUUAUGGUGAAGAAUUUGUGAUUUUGUAAUUUUGGAGGUUGAAGAAAUUUUAGAGUGAAUGAUGAAAUGUGAAGUGAUGAAGAUGAUAAAAUUGGGAGAUGAAGAUGGUUAUGGUGAAAUUUGGUGAAUUGAGAUUUUUGUGAUUGGUUGUGAAUAGGGAUUAACCUCUCAUGAUGGUAAUGAGUGAUGUUUAAAUAGGAAUAAAAUGGAGGGAAAGUUAGUUAUGAAAGAUAAUUCAAAAUUAUUGGAUAGUGAUCCUUGUGGUGAGUUUAAGAGUGAUUCGGAUUGAAUUGUGUUAGUUUUGAGGGAUUAAGGUAGUUAUGGAUAGUUUAGAUGGUUAGAAAUGAAAUGUAAAUUUUGGAUUUGUUUGAAAUAAAAAUGAAUAUCAUUUGAUUUACUUGAAGUUGCAUCUCACAUAGUUUUAGCUUUUUAGAAAUGAAAUAUAAAUGCAAACGUGUAGUAAAUUCUAUUUGGAAUACAAAUGCAAAUAUAAAUAUAUGGAAAAUUCAAUUUUGUGAAAGAAAUUGGAAUUAACAUGUAAUUUUAAGUAUUUGACUUAUGAUAUGAAUAAAAAUCAAAACAAAUUAGCUUUAAAAAUAAAUAAUUGAACUAAAAAUUAAAUUGGUCAUGGAUUAAAAAUAAAGCUUUGACUUUUUAAAAUAAUACUAAUAAAAAUGCAAUUUAUUUUAUUUUAUUUUAAUUUGCAUCUUAUUCUUAUUUUUACUUCAAAUCUCAUUAAAGCAUUUAGAAUAAAAUUAAGUAAUAAGACAUAAAUCAAUUUUAAAUCGUAUAUCGAGAAAAAUCAUAAACUUAAAUCAAAUUAAUACAAAUGAGAUGACAAUAAAAAAUCAACAAAGUCAACCUUUGAACCUUUGAAUGAUGUAAUGAAAUGAAUGAUGUCCUGUAUGAUAAAAUGGAAUGCAUGUUAUGCUGAUGAAAAUGAAAAAACUUAGGGUGAAAUUUAGAGUAUGACAGCUGCCCAUAUUUAACUAUCUUGAACAAGAGGAUAUGAAGAAUUGAAUUUUUCAUAUGUUCAUGGUGGAAGGUAGUUAAAUAUAUAGAAGACCAAAAAAAAUUCUGCGUGAAAGAAAUGGAAUGCAAUGUGAUGCAAUGAUUUUGUAUGUGUUUAAUUAGAUUUUAUCUUGUCGGGGAUGUGAAAUGGAAAGCAAACUCAAUGGGGGUGAAAUAAGGUAAGAGAUUGCGAAUUCUCAAAGAUUUUCUUUUGCUGGAGAUAUGAAUGGUAUGAAUAUCAACGAUUUUACAUUCGAGUUAGAAGAGGAUUAAAUAUAAAGUUCCAAAAAUUUGCACUCCAAAGAGAAGAGAUAUGUAGAAGUGUUUAUGAUACUCUUGUGUAUUGCCUCCACUAAUGAACUUUCGCAGGUAUUGAUAGUUGAGAUAUUCCCGCAAAAUUUUUUCUACAAAGUAGAAGAGAAAUAAUUAAGUACUUGCAAAAUGCAAGCAUAAAGGGAACGGGGAUAAUUUGCAAGAGGAAAAUAUUGAUAUUUUCUCAUGCGAAAGGCAGAGUAAUCUUGCAAAAGGAAAUUGAUACUUCAUCGAUGAAUAAAGUUUCUCACGCAAAAGGCAAAGAGAAGACAAUGUGGGGAUUACAAGAAAGACUAAUCAUCAACGCUGCGGUUGGGAGUAUAAAUUGUAUGACGUCAGCAUGGUGAAUGGGCUAUCAUUAGUUCAAGGUUGGAAAGAAAACAUCAAUAAAGACAAGUAUUAAGGGUAGGAUCAACACGUAUGAGUGAUGGAAAGAUAAGGUCAACACGGAUGAGCGUUGGAAAUCAAUACAGACGAGUAUUGAAAGAUGAGAUCUACACGAACGAAUUGUGGGGAUCAAAAUUAGUCAAAAUAGAUGAGUGUUAGGAAAGCAAGGUCAACACAGACGGGUGUUAGCAAGAUAAGAUCAAUACAAAUGUAUGUUGGAAAGUGAUUAACACGGUCGAGUGUUGGAAAUCAAUAUGGACGAGUAUUGAAAACGUAAUAUUAACAAUGACGGGUGUUAGAAAUCAAUACGAACGAGUAUUGAAAAUGUAAGAUUAACACAGACGAGUGUUAGAAAUCAAAGAUCAACACGAACGAGUGUUGGAAAUCAAUACGGACGAAUAUUGGAAAGGUAAGAUCAGCACAGAAGAGUGUUGUAAAUCAAUACGGGCAAGUAUUGAAAAUGAAAGAUUAACAUGGACGAGUGUUGGAAAUCAAAGAUCAACACAGACGAGUGGUUGAAAUUAAUAUAGACGAGUAUUGAAAAGGUAAGAUCAACACGGACGAGUGUUGAAAAUUAAUACGAGCGAGUAUUAAAAAGAUUAGGAUCAACACAGACGGGUGUUGGAAAAAUACGGUCAACAAGGACGGGUGUUGGAAAAAUACGGUCAACAAGGACGAGUGUUGGAAAAAUACGGUCAACACAUACGAGUCUUGGAAAAAUAUGGUCAAUAUGGACGAGUGUUGGAAAAACGGUCAACACGAAUGAGUGUUGGAAAAAUAAGGUCAACACGGACGAGUGUUGGAAAAAUAUGGUCAACAUUGACGAGUGUUGGAAAAAAACGAUCAACCCGAAUGACUGUUGGAAAAAUAAGGUCAACACGGACGAGUGUUUGAAAAAUAAGGUCAACACGGACGAGUGUUUGAAAAAUAAGGUCAACACGGACGAGUGUUGAAAAAAAUAGUCACCACGGACGAGGGUUGAAAAAAAUAUGGUCAACACGGACGAGUGUUAGAAAAAUACGGUCAACAUGGACAAGUGUCGGAAAAAAAGGUCAACACAGAUGAGUGUUGGAAAGAUAUUGUCAACACUGACGAGUGUCGAAAAAAUAUGGUCAACACGGAUGAGUGCUGGAAAAAAGUCAACACUGACGAGUGUUGGAAAAUAUAUAUCACUAUGGUGACUGGAAAAGAAGCAAUGACUUUAGCACGGUAGCUGAAGAAAAAAGAAUAUCAGCAUGGCGCUUGUACAAUAAAAAUGAACUAUUUCAGAGGAAAUUUACUGGGAAUAUCAGUUGGGAGAUUUGUGGGGAUAAUAUUCUCUUCAAGAAAUGUCACUGUCUUGACUGAGAAUUAGUUUGUGCUUUCUAUAAUCAACACAUAAUCUCAUAGAACCUUCUUUCUUCUUGACCAACAGAACAGGUGCACCCCACGACGAUACACUAGGACGAAUAAACUUCUUCUCAAGCAAGUCUUCAAGUUGACUCUUCAACUCUUUCAACUCACGAGCAUACAUUCGAUAGGGAGCCAUCGAUACAAGACUAGUUCCAGGAACUAAAUCAAUCGGAAACUCAACCUCACGUUCUGGCGGUAAAUCACUUACAUCUUCCGGAAAUACCUCCGCAAACUCACAAACUAUUGGCAAUUCUUCAAUCGUCCUCUUCUCACGACUAUCCAAAGUUGCUAACAACAUAAACAACUCGGCACCACCUUGCACUGAUUCAUCAACUUGCUUAGCAGACACAAACCAAUCUUCCUUCGCACCAACCUCGGGAAAAAUAAUCGUCUUCUCAAAACAGUUGAUAUACACCCGAUUAAAUUCUAACCAAUUCAUACCCAAAAUCACAUCAAGUUGCUCUAACGGAAGACAAACUAAAUCAAUUCUAAAAUCCCUACCAAAGAUACUCAACGGACAAUUCAGACACGCAUAGGAAGUGGAAACAGAACCCAUAGCAGGUGUAUCAAUAACCAUACUUCUACGCAUAUCAGAUAAUAUCAGAUUCAAUCUCUUAGCACAAUCCAAAGAAAUGAAAGAAUGUGUUGCACCGGUAUCAAUAAUGGCAGUCAAAGGUGUACCAUUAAUAAAGCAUGUAGCUUGGAUUAGCCUAUCAUCGGUAGUGGCCUCCGCACCAGACAAUGCAAACACCUUUCCCUUCGCUUGCUCCUUCUUCGGCUUAUCAUAUUGGGUACUAAUGUGACCUUUCUCACCAUAAUUGUAACAAGUUCACUCGAACCAACUCCACACUGGUUUGCUCUGUGACCACUCUUGCCACACUUGAAACACGUCACAGGAUCCUUACUACAAUCACCAGCGCGAUGACCUUCAACGCCACAUUUGAAACACUUAAGUGGAGUAGAAGAUCCUCCCCCACUUCUCCCCCUUGGCUUCUUGCAAAAACCACUUGUUCUCCUCACGGUUUCCCACGAUCUUGGUUUUUCCCCUUCAAACUCUUGUAGAAAGAAGCACUUUCCCUACUAUCCUCAUCAUAAAUCCGACUCUUGUUAACCAACUCCGCAAAACGAGUAAUCUAUUGGUAACCAAUGGCCUUCUUGAUAUCAUGUCUCAAGCCAUUCACAAACUUCAAACAUUUUGAUCUCUCAACAUUAACAGUAUUGUAAUGAGGACAAUACUUGAUAAGCUCCUGAAAUCUAGCAGCAUAUUCCGCAACCGUACCAUUUCCUUGCUUCAAUUUAAGGAACUCCACCUCUUUCUUCCCACGACAAUCUUCUGGAAAAUAGUUCUCCAAGAAGACGUCACGGAAAAGAGCCCAAGUAACCUCAAUGCUGUCUUCUUCAAACCUCUGAAGAGUGUUAUUCCACCAAUCUUCAGCUUCCUUCUCAAGCAUAUGAGUACCAAACCGCACUUUCUGAGCAUCAGUACAGUUCAUGACUCUGAAUAUCUUCUCAAUUGCCUUCAGCCAAGCUUGAGCUUUAUCAGGUUCAUGCUCACCCUCAAAGACAGGAGGAUUGUUCCGCUGGAAUCUCCCCAAAGCAUGGAACUCAUCAUCAUCUCCAUUUCGGUUACCAGCAUUCGCUUGAGGGAUCUGACAAAUGGAUUCAGCCAACAUCCUCAGCGCCUCAGCAAUAGCUUCAUCAUUCCUGCCUGCAACCAUCAUCCUGAACAGCCCGGACAACCAGACAAACAGUAUUGAUCGUGUCAGAUACACAAAUCAAAUACAACGGGAUGGAAAACCCUAACGACUAUUGACCAACUGGUCGACCAUGCUUUGAUAUCACUAAUGUAACACCUCUUUUUCUACCCCAAAAUACUUAAUCAUAUAAUCAGAGUAAAUAAGCACACAUAUAAACAAAAGGGCGUCACAUCGAUGUUUUCAAGAACUAAAAGCUUUCAAAAACCAACAUCAUUCAUCAUCAAUACACAAUACACCUGGUCAUUUAAAAUAACACAUUUUCAAUUACCAUGAAUAUUCAAGAAUAUGCGUUCGCAGCGGAAAAUAAUGAAUACUCAUGCAUUUCAUCAAAUGAUCCAUGUCCCAUACCAUGAUCAUCUCUCAAUAAUCUCUUCAAAAUAAACUAAAACCAUAAUUAGAAUAUUUGGCACUAUGGCCUCUCAACAACAAUUACAAAUAAGCAUGUUCACAAGUAAUAACAUAAUACUUAUCCAAAUAGGAUACGAGUUCAAUACUACUAAUCUACCCAGUGUUACAUGACCAGAGCAUUGACUCAUUACCUAGUCUUCAAACUAAAAUACGGAAACCCUCCGGCUAAAUCUCGAAUGAGCUACCUUCCACUUACUUCAGCGAACUACUCCUGAGUAUCUGCACGAUACCCAUGUAAAGGUAACAUUCAAACGAAAGGGUGAGAAUUCAAAUCAUUAUGAAGAAGUAUAAUAAGGCACAAUGAUUAAAUCCACAUUAAAGGAUUCAUCACACUUCGUAUAACCAUGUAAAUAAUAUUAAUAACAUUUAUUUACCAUGUUUCAAACAUCCAUCAAAACUCAAAGAGUAUAAUAUUAAAAUCCAAUACUAUAUUCCCGAAUAUACACAUAGCUAUAAUUAUCACAUAAUCACAUAACUUGCCAAGUUAUGUACUCAAACAUCACCAAAUUCAAUUACCAUAUCUCAUACACACAUCACAAUCACAUCAAUGCAUACUCUCAAUUAUCACAUGACUCUAAUGUGACUCAAUGCAAGACAUGUGACUCUAUGCAUGCGGUACCUCAAUGUGAACCCAACGUUCACCGCUUUCCGAUCAAUAUCUAGAAUCCAAGCCACGCUUCCGAUCCGGACAAGAUCAAAGCCACUACUACGCCGAUUCCAAUUAAGGAUCAACGUAUGCUACGCCUAUUUCCAAUUAAGAUCAACGUCUAUGUGAACCCGCAGUUUCACCGUUUUCCGAUUCAAUAUCUAGAAUCCAAGCCACCUUACUACGCCUAUUUCCAAUUAAGGAUCAACGUAUGCUACGCCUAUUUCCAAUUAAGGAUCAACGUCUAUGUGAACCCACAGUUUCACCGCUUCCACUAUGAAGCCGACCAUGCCAUGAAUGAACGUACAAAUACCAACACAUAUGCAAUUAAGAUUAUCUCUACCAUCUUAAGAUUCCACAUAUCACCAUAAUUCAACUCUAUGAAUUAUCCACCAAUGGUACAUAUACACAUUCAUAACAAUAUAUCAUUCACAAAUAUCGGCUAAUUAUCAAAUACACACACAUAGAUUUCAUUCCAAAACGAAUACAGCAUUUAAAAUCUUAAUUUUUCACUUUUCAAAUAGUGUUAACCGGUUAACGCAUAUGGUUAAUCGGUUAACAUAAAACAGAAUCAAUUUCCUGGCAAUUUUCAACAAUGUUAACCGGUUAACGCAUUUGGUUAAUCGGUUAACGCAAAACAGAACACAAUUUCUAACAGGUUUUCAACAGUGUUAACCGGUUAACGCAUUUGGUUAACCGAUUAACGCAAAAACAGAAUGCUAUUCCUGCGUUAACACAAAACAGAAUGCAGAAUUUUCUGCGUUUUUCAUCGUUGGAGGACUUUCGGACCUCCGAUUUCGAUUCCGUAAAAAGCCAAACAUUCAGAAAAUUAUAACUCAUACAAUACUCUAAGUGUAUAACGUUAAUUUGCAGUUUUAACACAAUCAAAUCACCACAAAUCAAGAAUACUCAUCAAAAUCUAAUAAUUUCAACAACCAUACAAAAUUAAGGAUUUUAACCUAAACAUACUUCUAUCCAUUGACCCAAUCAUACUAACCCAUAAUAAUAAGGAUUCCCCCCUUACCUCUUCAAUUUUCUGGAAACCCUACCUUCUCCCUUGUUCUUCC
Molecule: long non-coding RNA, 40898 nt
Filed under: Lathyrus oleraceus (garden pea)
Lineage: Eukaryota; Viridiplantae; Streptophyta; Magnoliopsida; Fabales; Fabaceae
Description: Pisum sativum (pea) long non-coding RNA (PSAT_LNC036459)
Source: RNAcentral